UUACGGGAGGCAGCAGUGGGGAAUCUUGCACAAUGGGGGAAACCCUGAUGCAGCGACGCCGCGUGAGCGAUGAAGCCCUUCGGGGUGUAAAGCUCUUUCGUCAGGGAAGAUCAUGACGGUACCUGGAGAAGCAGCUGCGGCUAACUACGUGCCAGCAGCCGCGGUAAUACGUAGGCAGCACGCGUUGUUCGGAGUUACUGGGCGUAAAGGGUGUGUAGGCGGUUCUUUAAGUUUGGUGUGAAAUCUCCCGGCUCAACCGGGAGGGUGCGCCGAAUACUGAGGGACUAGAGUGUGGGAGAGGAAAGUGGAAUUCCUGGUGUAGCGGUGAAAUGCGUAGAUAUCAGGAGGAACACCGGUGGUGUAGACGGCUUUCUGGACCAUAACUGACGCUGAGACACGAAAGCGUGGGUAGCAAACAGGAUUAGAUACCCUGGUAGG
This 438-nucleotide ribosomal RNA is filed under the name uncultured bacterium. RNAcentral describes it as "bacterial SSU rRNA". It matches the Rfam family "Bacterial small subunit ribosomal RNA", at positions 339 to 794 of the family's 1533-position model. The record is from RNAcentral.